RNAcentral lists this ribosomal RNA (406 nucleotides) under uncultured bacterium. Its description in RNAcentral is "partial 16S ribosomal RNA". It matches the Rfam family "Bacterial small subunit ribosomal RNA", at positions 30 to 526 of the family's 1533-position model. The record is from RNAcentral.
AUUGAACGCUGGCGGCAGGCCUAACACAUGCAAGUCGAGCGAGCGGCGGACGGGUGAGUAAUGUCUGGGAAACUGCCUGAUGGAGGGGGAUAACUACUGGAAACGGUAACUAAUAACGCAUACCAGCAGAUACGCCCAGAUGGGGUUAGCUAGUGGGGGGUGUAAUGGCUCACCUAGGCGACGAGCCCUAGCUGGUCUGCGAGGAUGACCAACCACACUGGAACUGAGACACGGUCCAGACUCCUACGGGAGUCAGCAGUGGGGAAUAUUGCACAAUGGGCGCAAGCCUGAUGCAGCCAUGCCGCGUGUAUGAAGAAGGCCUUCGGGUUGUAAAGUACUUUCAGCGAGGAGGCGUUACUCGCAGAAGAAGCACCGGCUAACUCCGUGCCAGCAGCCGCGGUAAUUC